ACACGUGGGUAACCUGCCUGUAAGACUGGGAUAACUCCGGGAAACCGGGGCUAAUACCGGAUGGUUGUCUGAACCGCAUGGUUCAGACAUAAAAGGUGGCUUCGGCUACCACUUACAGAUGGACCCGCGGCGCAUUAGCUAGUUGGUGAGGUAACGGCUCACCAAGGCGACGAUGCGUAGCCGACCUGAGAGGGUGAUCGGCCACACUGGGACUGAGACACGGCCCAGACUCCUACGGGAGGCAGCAGUAGGGAAUCUUCCGCAAUGGACGAAAGUCUGACGGAGCAACGCCGCGUGAGUGAUGAAGGUUUUCGGAUCGUAAAGCUCUGUUGUUAGGGAAGAACAAGUGCCGUUCAAAUAGGGCGGCACCUUGACGGUACCUAACCAGAAAGCCACGGCUAACUACGUGCCAGCAGCCGCGGUAAUACGUAGGUGGCAAGCGUUGUCCGGAAUUAUUGGGCGUAAAGGGCUCGCAGGCGGUUUCUUAAGUCUGAUGUGAAAGCCCCCGGCUCAACCGGGGAGGGUCAUUGGAAACUGGGGAACUUGAGUGCAGAAGAGGAGAGUGGAAUUCCACGUGUAGCGGUGAAAUGCGUAGAGAUGUGGAGGAACACCAGUGGCGAAGGCGACUCUCUGGUCUGUAACUGACGCUGAGGAGCGAAAGCGUGGGGAGCGAAACAGGAUUAGAUACCCUGGUAGUCCACGCCGUAAACGAUGAGUGCUAAGUGUUAGGGGGUUUCCGCCCCUUAGUGCUGCAGCUAACGCAUUAAGCACUCCGCCUGGGGAGUACGGUCGCAAGACUGAAACUCAAAGGAAUUGACGGGGGCCCGCACAAGCGGUGGAGCAUGUGGUUUAAUUCGAAGCAACGCGAAGAACCUUACCAGGUCUUGACAUCCUCUGACAAUCCUAGAGAUAGGACGUCCCCUUCGGGGGCAGAGUGACAGGUGGUGCAUGGUUGUCGUCAGCUCGUGUCGUGAGAUGUUGGGUUAAGUCCCGCAACGAGCGCAACCCUUGAUCUUAGUUGCCAGCAUUCAGUUGGGCACUCUAAGGUGACUGCCGGUGACAAACCGGAGGAAGGUGGGGAUGACGUCAAAUCAUCAUGCCCCUUAUGACCUGGGCUACACACGUGCUACAAUGGACAGAACAAAGGGCAGCGAAACCGCGAGGUUAAGCCAAUCCCACAAAUCUGUUCUCAGUUCGGAUCGCAGUCUGCAACUCGACUGCGUGAAGCUGGAAUCGCUAGUAAUCGCGGAUCAGCAUGCCGCGGUGA
RNAcentral lists this ribosomal RNA (1267 nucleotides) under Bacillus amyloliquefaciens. RNAcentral describes it as "bacterial SSU rRNA". It matches the Rfam family "Bacterial small subunit ribosomal RNA", at positions 113 to 1365 of the family's 1533-position model. The record is from RNAcentral. Lineage: Bacteria; Bacillati; Bacillota; Bacilli; Caryophanales; Bacillaceae.